GACGAACGCUGGCGGCGUGCUUAACACAUGCAAGUCGAACGGUAAGGCCCUUCGGGGUACACGAGUGGCGAACGGGUGAGUAACACGUGGGUGAUCUGCCCUGCACUUCGGGAUAAGCCUGGGAAUCUGGGUCUAAUACCGGAUAGGACUCCUGGCUUCAUGGUUGGGGGUGGAAAGCGUUUGCGGUGUGGGAUGGGCCCGCGGCCUAUCAGCUUGUUGGCGGGGUAAUGGCCUACCAAGGCGACGACGGGUAGCCGGCCUGAGAGGGUGACCGGUCACACUGGGACUGAGAUACGGCCCAGACUCCUACGGGAGGCAGCAGUGGGGAAUAUUGCACAAUGGGCGCAAGCCUGAUGCAGCGACGCCGCGUGAGGGAUGACGGCCUUCGGGUUGUAAACCUCUUUCAGCUAUGACGAAGCGCAAGUGACGGUAGUAGCAGAAGAAGGACCGGCCAACUACGUGCCAGCAGCCGCCGUAA
Molecule: ribosomal RNA, 478 nt
Filed under: uncultured bacterium
Lineage: Bacteria
Description: partial 16S ribosomal RNA
Rfam family: Bacterial small subunit ribosomal RNA
Source: RNAcentral